RNAcentral lists this non-coding RNA (273 nucleotides) under Paenibacillus wynnii. Its description in RNAcentral is "T-box sequence". It matches the Rfam family "T-box leader". From Rfam's summary of the family: Uncharged tRNA acts as the effector for transcription antitermination of genes in the T-box leader family. The record is from RNAcentral. Lineage: Bacteria; Bacillati; Bacillota; Bacilli; Caryophanales; Paenibacillaceae.
UAUAACGCUAUGAACGGGAGUAGUAAAAAGAAACGCGAUGACCAGAGAGCUGCGGGAGGGUGCGACGCAGACAUCGCAGCUUUUGAAGCUCGCCCGGGAGCGGAACAGCGGAAGGAUUAAGUACGCUGUUACGGAUGUCUCCGUUACAGGACCUUCGCUUAUUCUGGUACUUCGGUACGGGGGUUAGUGAAGUAGAGCUGGACGCAGCUGGGUGAUGAUUGCCUAUGCGUCAAAAAGAGUGGUACCGCGGAGGGGAAACCCGUCGUCUCUUUU